AGGUAUUUUGUGUACGGGAAACCUAAUUCCGAUGGCAGCUGCAGCGAUAGGAAGCGUGGUGCCGGCGGGGAGGGCGGCGCGGAGGGCGGCGCGGAGGGCGAUGGAGGAUGACAAGUUGGUCUUUGAGACGACGCCUGGUGUAGACCCUGUUAUGAUAUUCGAUAAGAUGGGAAUCAAGGACGAUGUGCUUGGUGGAAUCUACGCAUACGGCUUUGAGAAGCCCUCUGCAAUCCAGCAGAGGGCCGUCAUGCCUAUUAUUCAGGGCCGAGACGUCAUCGCACAGGCACAGUCCGGUACUGGCAAGACCUCCAUGAUUGCUCUAACUGUUUGCCAGAUGGUUGAUACAGCUAGCCGAGAGGUCCAGGUCUUGAUAUUGUCACCUACGAGGGAACUGGCAUCUCAGACAGAGAAGGUAAUAUUGGCCAUUGGUGAUUAUAUUAACAUACAAGCACUUGCGUGUACUGGUGGAAAAAGCGUGGGUGAGGAUAUCAGAAAGCUAGAACAUGGAGUUCAUGUGGUAUCCGGAACUCCAGGCAGGGUGUGUGACAUGAUCAAGCGGAGAACUCUACGUACCAAAGCCAUUAAACUAUUAGUUCUUGAUGAGUCUGAUGAAAUAUUGAGCAGAGGUUUCAAGGACCAAAUUUAUGAUGUAUAUAGAUACAUUCCCCCAGAGCUUCAGGUUGUCUUGAUCUCAGCCACUCUUCCGCAUGAAAUUUUGGAGAUGACAACCAAGUUCAUGAAUGACCCUGUAAAGAUCCUUGUGAAACGUGAUGAGUUGACUAUGGAGCGCAUGGAACAGUUUUUUGUUACAGUUGAAAGAGAGGAUUGGAAGUUUGAUACUCUCUGCGACCUUUGUGAUAACAUUUCAAUCACCCGAGCUGUUAUUUUUUGCAAUACCAAGCGCAAGGUGGAUUGGUUAACUGAGAAGAUGCGGAGCACUAACUUUACUGUGUCAUCUAUGCAUGGGAACAUGCCACAGAAGGAGCGAGAUGCCAUUAUGCUAGAGUUUCGGUCUGGGGCAACCCGUGUCUUGAUCACCACUGAUAUUUGGGCUCAGGGUCUGGAUGUUCAACAGGUUAGUGUUUUUUUCCUUUUUUUCCCCCUUUUUUCUUCUACUGCUUACAGGAGGAGCGAGAUGCCAUGAUGCUAGAGUUUCGGUCUGUGGCAACCCGUGUCUUGAUCAUAGCUGAUAUUUGGGUUCGGGGUCUGGAUGUUCAACAGGUUAAUCUUGUGAUCAAUUAUGACCUUCCAAACAAUCGUGAGCUUUACAUACACCGGAUUGGUCGUACUGGCCGUUUUGGACGCAAGGGUGUGGCCAUAAAUUUCGUCAAGACUGAUGAAAUCAAGAUUCUAAGAGACAUAGAGCAGUACUACAGUACCCACGUUGAAGAGCUGCCGAUGAAUGUUGCUGAUCUCGUAUAAAUGUUACUGUUGAAUCAGUUCCAACUGUUUUCAAUUUUUCUAUUACAAUCAGCUUGAUUGCAACGCACAAUGCAAAACAAUAAAUAGAUGAAUAUGGAUUUCCCUUUUUAUUCUUUUUCCUAAUCUGCAUAAAAGGAAAAUGAGAGACGAAGGCAAGA
This is an RNA transcript of Tripterygium wilfordii, 1580 nucleotides long. It is a transcript of the gene named eukaryotic initiation factor 4A-3-like, with no coding region annotated. The transcript is spliced from 8 exons. The record is from RefSeq and is a predicted model, not a curated record. NCBI's taxonomy places the organism in Eukaryota, Viridiplantae, Streptophyta, Magnoliopsida, Celastrales, Celastraceae.